Molecule: long non-coding RNA, 546 nt
Organism: Acinonyx jubatus (cheetah)
Lineage: Eukaryota; Metazoa; Chordata; Mammalia; Carnivora; Felidae
Exons: 5
Source: RefSeq, a predicted model, not a curated record
CGCUUAGAUUCCGGACCGCGUCCGGGAACGGACUGGGUCCUCCUUAGAGCCCGGAGUGGAUCCGGGGACGGACUGGGUCCAACUUGGAACUUAACCGGUUCAGAGAAGGGACUGGGUCUGGCUUAAAACCCAAACUGCCUCUGGGGAUUGAAUGGGUCUAAGUUGGAGCCUGGACCGAGUUGGGGAAGCGACUGGGUCUGACUAAUCUGGACUGGGUCCAGUGUGAGGCCUCACUUUCUGGUGACCCGGAAGAGGCCUGCUGGGACACCGCAGCACUCCAGAGCUUGCGCACAGGGUCCUGGGAAACUGGCGGAAAACAGCAAAGGAUGGAUUCCUACUGUGCUUUCUCAGCAGCUUCCUUAUGCUUCAUUACCCAAACAAUUCUGCAGAAUUGUACACACCAGUUCCUGUAGACUUAAUUUCAUGAUGAUAUCAACCAAUAAUAGAAUUAAUGCCUGAUACAGUACAUAGGAAUAAAAUAAUGUCCCUGGUGGUCAGUUUGAACAAUUUCAUCAAAGGUGAUACUGCUAAUACUUUUGAGUGACA